RNAcentral lists this ribosomal RNA (221 nucleotides) under uncultured bacterium. Its description in RNAcentral is "partial 16S ribosomal RNA". It matches the Rfam family "Bacterial small subunit ribosomal RNA", at positions 129 to 334 of the family's 1533-position model. The record is from RNAcentral.
CCCUUCAGAGGGGGACAACAGUUGGAAACGACUGCUAAUACCGCAUACGAUCCAAUCUCGGCAUCGAGACUGGAUGGAAGGUGGCCUCUAUUUAUAAGCUAUCACUGAAGGAGGGGAUUGCGUCUGAUUAGCUAGUUGGAGGGGUAACGGCCCACCAAGGCGAUGAUCAGUAGCCGGUCUGAGAGGAUGAACGGCCACAUUGGGACUGAGACACGGCCCAG